RNAcentral lists this ribosomal RNA (372 nucleotides) under uncultured organism. Its description in RNAcentral is "bacterial SSU rRNA". It matches the Rfam family "Bacterial small subunit ribosomal RNA", at positions 526 to 896 of the family's 1533-position model. The record is from RNAcentral.
CGGGGGGGGCAAGCGUUGUUCAGAAUUACUGGGCGUAAAGGGCUCGUAGGCGGCCAACUAAGUCAGACGUGAAAUCCCUCGGCUUAACCGGGGAACUGCGUCUGAUACUGGAUGGCUUGAGUUUGGGAGAGGGAUGCGGAAUUCCAGGUGUAGCGGUGAAAUGCGUAGAUAUCUGGAGGAACACCGGUGGCGAAGGCGGCAUCCUGGACCAACACUGACGCUGAGGAGCGAAAGCCAGGGGAGCAAACGGGAUUAGAUACCCCGGUAGUCCUGGCCCUAAACGAUGAAUGCUUGGUGUGACGGGUAUCGAUCCCUGUCGUGCCGAAGCUAACGCAUUAAGCAUUCCGCCUGGGGAGUACGGUCGCAAGGCUG